CGCGUAGGUGGCGCGGGUAGUCGUCGGUGAAAGUUCAGGGCUCAACCCUGAAUCGGCCGGUGAUACUCCCGUGCUCGAGUGUGGUAGAGGCCAAUGGAAUUCCGGGUGUAGCGGUGGAAUGCGUAGAGAUCCGGAAGAACACCGGUGGCGAAGGCGGUUGGCUGGGCCACAACUGACACUGAUGCGCGACAGCGUGGGGAGCAAACA
This 207-nucleotide ribosomal RNA is filed under the name uncultured bacterium. RNAcentral's name for it is "partial 16S ribosomal RNA". It matches the Rfam family "Bacterial small subunit ribosomal RNA", at positions 568 to 774 of the family's 1533-position model. The record is from RNAcentral.